This 210-nucleotide unclassified non-coding RNA is filed under the name Hevea brasiliensis (rubber tree). The record is from RNAcentral. Lineage: Eukaryota; Viridiplantae; Streptophyta; Magnoliopsida; Malpighiales; Euphorbiaceae.
GUUUGCUUCAUUCUUCUGACCAGGAUUUCACCCGAACUGGGCCUAUAGUGAAUAGAGGGAAGAAGAAAGAGGUGUUACUUGAUGAUGUAGGAAGUGCUUGCAUGAGAGUUGUAUCAACCGUGGGUAACAAUUCAUUAGGUGGAGCUAAGGGGAAAAGAAGCGAGAGAGAAAGGGAUAAAGAUAUGUCAGCUAGGUUAUGUGUUACCAAAG